This 119-nucleotide ribosomal RNA is filed under the name Aotus nancymaae (Ma's night monkey). The record is from RNAcentral. Lineage: Eukaryota; Metazoa; Chordata; Mammalia; Primates; Aotidae.
AUCUACAGCCAUACCACCCUGAACGUGCCCAAUGUUAUCUGAUCUCAGAAGCUAAGCAGGGUCGUGCCUGGUUAGUACUUGGUUGGGAGACUGCCUGGGAAUACUGGGUGCUGUAGGGU